This 505-nucleotide ribosomal RNA is filed under the name uncultured bacterium. Its description in RNAcentral is "partial 16S ribosomal RNA". It matches the Rfam family "Bacterial small subunit ribosomal RNA", at positions 28 to 507 of the family's 1533-position model. The record is from RNAcentral.
GACGAACGCUGGCGGCGUGCCUAAUACAUGCAAGUAGAACGCACAGUUUAUACCGUAGCUUGCUACACCAUAGACUGUGAGUUGCGAACGGGUGAGUAACGCGUAGGUAACCUGCCUGGUAGCGGGGGAUAACUAUUGGAAACGAUAGCUAAUACCGCAUAAUAUUGAUUAUUGCAUGAUAAUUGAUUGAAAGAUGCUAUUGCAUCACUACCAGAUGGACCUGCGUUGUAUUAGCUAGUAGGGGAGGUAACGGCCCACCUAGGCGACGAUACAUAGCCGACCUGAGAGGGUGAUCGGCCACCCUGGGACUGAGACACGGCCCAGACUCCUACGGGAGGCAGCAGUAGGGAAUCUUCGGCAAUGGACGAAAGUCUGACCGAGCAACGCCGCGUGAGGGAAGAAGGUUUUCGGAUCGUAAAGCUCUGUUGUAAGAGAAGAACGGGUGGGAGAGUGGAAAGUUCACACUGUGACGGUAUCUUACCAGAAAGAGACGGCUAACUACGUG